Molecule: long non-coding RNA, 208 nt
Filed under: Elaeis guineensis (African oil palm)
Lineage: Eukaryota; Viridiplantae; Streptophyta; Magnoliopsida; Arecales; Arecaceae
Description: long non-coding RNA (EGUI_LNC070304)
Source: RNAcentral
GGGGGGAUUUGUUUCAUUCAGAAUUCUCUCCUAUCUCUUCUUUCUUACAUCCUUUCUCUAUUAUCCAAUUAUUCUCUUCCUUCUCUUAUUAGGAUAAGUUCAAAAAUAGUAAGGACAAGUCCUAUUUUAGGACAAGAGCCUAGAAAAAGAUAUAAGAAAAACAAGGAGAGAAGAAAGGUAGGGAUAGGAAGGUAGGAGGAGAGGAAGA